AUACAAUCGAUGAGCGGGAGAGUAAUUACCCUUGAUCUAGUCCUCAGCGAGCCGGAAGAGUGAAAGCCGGUACAGAUCAAAGUAAUGAAGCGCACCCGGGAGAUGGACUUCUGAACAGAUUAGUAGGAAGCCCCGGCUGAAGGCCGUUAUUCUGUAAAGUGGCUAGACUUGCCCGUCUAGCAACGAGAGUGGUACCGCGAGCGCUAAAGCCCUCGUCUCUUUU
Molecule: non-coding RNA, 223 nt
Filed under: Paenibacillus wynnii
Lineage: Bacteria; Bacillati; Bacillota; Bacilli; Caryophanales; Paenibacillaceae
Description: T-box sequence
Rfam family: T-box leader
About the family: Uncharged tRNA acts as the effector for transcription antitermination of genes in the T-box leader family. T-boxes are found upstream of many aminoacyl-tRNA synthetase genes and some amino acid biosynthetic genes usually in Gram-positive bacteria.
Source: RNAcentral